This is a non-coding RNA of Pelobates cultripes (western spadefoot toad), 305 nucleotides long. NCBI's taxonomy places the organism in Eukaryota, Metazoa, Chordata, Amphibia, Anura, Pelobatidae. The record is from the annotation of a GenBank genome assembly.
GUCAGAUCAUUGAUCAAAAGGGGUAUAUCAGGACCUUCACCUUUCAGUAUAUGUUGAUUACUACGUCUUCAAAAAAUAAGAGGCUGCCUGGGUCUUUAAAAAAAAAAAAGUGACUUUGAUACUAUGACAUAUGAUUCUGGCCUGCUAAACAGGUUUCCUCCUAAUUUCUGUGGAAAACAAUAAAUGACUAUACGACAGGGAGAGGGCAGUACUAUUUAUACUAGUGAUUUUAUAGUUCUGUUUUUUGUCUUUUCUAGGUGAGGAACUAAUCUGUGAAAGGAUGAACCUAAGAAUCAUAACCAUUU